UAAGUGAUAACAGCCAACAUGUGUCUGAUAUAAGAAAAGAUACAAACCCAUCUUACGACUUUAGAGAUGUGAACACAGAAUCCAAGAAGGAGGUUCUAAAGCAGAAAGAGGAACCACAAUUAGAGGAACUUGUGUUGCAUGAUCAAGAAUCUUCAUUAAGCCAACAUGACAUAGCUACUCUAAAUAAUAACUAUGAUUGUUCUAUGGUUCAACAUAUAGUGGGAGGGAGUAGAAGUUUUGAUAUGCCUAUGUCUAACAUUAGCCAUGCUGAACCCACAACGACCAAUUUACCACAUGAGAUGAGGGAUGCUGUUGAAGAAAGGCAAGAGAUUCAUAUAGAAAUGAAACAAGAAAAUAAUGUUUGUGAUGUUGCUUCAGUAACAUGUGAUAGUCUGACUAAUUUAGUGUCUAUUACGGAAGAAGUUGAAGAUCCCCACAUUUUAGCAACGAGAGAAAAUGAGAAUAUGAGUGUUGAAAGAGGAUCUGAAUCAGAAUAUGCAUUUGAAAUGACAGACCAGGGUGAUGUAAGAGAUCACAAUGUAACACAAAUAAUAAUGGAUGUAAGAGAUCAUGAAAAAGACGGAGAAACAAGCACAGAGACCAUUUGGAUUUCACACAAGAAACCGUGUGAUGUUUCAACUGAAAAUAAGGAGCUAUAUAAAGGACAAGAGCAUUAUUCAUCAAAUAUAUCUCUAACACACAGUCAAACACACGAUGAUGCUGGGAAGAUGCUAGAAAAUGAGGAGGUUAGAAAAGACAAAAAAGAGACUGAGAAUACUGCAGUUAAUGAUGUGACCUCAAAGUCAGAGGAAAUGUUUAGUUUUGAAGACUCAGCAACAGAUACAGGAUCUCACGCACAACAACAACUGUUUAUGCAAUCUCCUGAUAAAGAAGACUAUGACUUGCAUGAAAAUGUGAAUGAGAAACGUGAAAAGGAAGAAAUACUUUUCAGUGUAGAAUCAGAGAAUGUAGCUUUUGAUAGAGGCAAUGAGAGAAGUGAAGGAACAGACGGAAUUAAGGAGAUGGAUGCAGCACCAGUCCUGACAUUAGAUGUGGGAGAUGCAGACCUACAUUUAGAAGUUGAAGCACAGAACAAAACAUUUGACUCAACAAACAGUGAAGCAGAUGGAACAGAAGAGAAUAUCAAUGGUGCUAGUGUUUUAGUCAGAGAAAAUAAAGUUAUUGGAAAUACAGUGGAGAGUAAUAUGACUCCUGAUGCACACAUGGAAGCAUUGGAAGUAUCUGAAAAUGCUGAGCAAGAAGUUUCAGGAGAAACAAUUCUCAAGCAAAGUGACAUCAACAUCGUUCCUGAAGAUUCUCAUGAAGAGGAGGCACACACAAAAUCAAGUCCAGUUAUUCAGAAGAGAAAAAUGGGCUCAACUCGUAGACCUCUCAAAGGGAAUAAAGGACUAAGAAAAGGUCAUGAUGAAAAAGAAAUCUUCAAUUUGGAGGAUAAACCCAGUCCAGAUGAAUCCAGAUAUACUGCAGUGAGUAUCUGUGACAUUUCAGAAUCACAAACUUUCACAAAAAUCUAUGCAGGGUCCCAGGAAAAUACUGGAGAUGUUGAAAUAGUGCCAGCAGAGGGAGACACAGAAUCACACUCAGAAAACAAAACGUUUGACUCAACAGCAUUUGAAGGAGAAGUUGAAGUCAGAGAAGUUGAAGUUAUUGGAGAUACCGUGGGCAGUAAUAUGACUACUGAAUCAGAUUUUCAUCAAAUUUCUGAUGCAAACAUGGAAACGUUGAAAGUAUCUGAAAAUCCUGAUAGUGAAGAUUUAGAACUCAGAAGUUCACAAUCAGAAAUUCAACCAGAAAACAAAAUGAUUGAGUUAACAUCUGAAGCAGAAAGAACAGAAGAUAUCAUCUGUGAAGCUAGUGUUUUAGUCAGAGAAGAUGAGUUUACUGUAGAUACGGUUAUAGUGGACAGUAAUAUGACUAUAGAGUCAGAUUUGCUUCAGAGUGACACUUUAAAUGAUGCAAAACUGGAAGCAUUGAAAUUAUCUAAAAAUACUGUGAGUGUUUCUGCUGUGAUGGAUUCUGUGCUUCUUGUGCAAGAGGAUGUCACUGAAGGAUCAAGAGAGACAGACAAAUUUCCUGAGCAAAGUGACAUCAACAUCAUUCCUGAAUAUUCUCAUGGAGAGGAGGUACACUCAAUAUCAAGUCUAAUUGUUCACAAGCGAAAAAUGUGCUCAACACGUAGACCUCUCAGAGGGAACAAAGGACAAAGAAAAGAAAUAGAACAUCAUGAUGAAAAUGAGACACUUGACAGUGAAGGUAUGAGCAAUGCAGAGAAAGAAACAAUUUGUUUGGAGAAUGAACCCAGUCCAGAUGAAUCUACAUUACAAAGUUUAAAAGAUGGAGCUAAAAAGCAGGAGAUGGAAAUAUGUGAGAAGAAUGAUGUUGAUCCUGUUAAAGGGUCUGAAUCCACUCUCCUGCAGUCAUCAUGUACUUCAGAUUUAGUGUCUAAGGAAUCCACAGCAAUAAGUAUCUGUCACAUCACAGAAUCACAAACCCUCACAAAUAUUCAUGUAGAGUCUCAAGAAAAUAUUGGAGAUGCUGAAAGAGUGGCAGCAGAGGAUGACAAAGACUUACAAUUAGAAAUUGACUCACAGAACAAAACAUUUGACUUAGCAACCAGUGAAGCAGAUGGAACAGAAGAGAACAUCCAAGACGUUAGUGUGGCAUUAAUCAGAGAAGUUGAAGUUAUUGGAGAUACAGUUACAGUAGAGAGUAAUAUGACUACUGAGUCAGAUUUUUUUCAAACUUCUCCUGAUGCACACAUGGAAGCAUUGAAAGUAUCUAAAAAUGCUGAGAGAGAAGUUUCAGGAGAAACAAACACAAUUCCUGAACAAAGUGACAUCAGCAUCAUUCCUGCAGAUUCUCACAGAGAAGAGACACACUCAAAAUCAAGUCCAGUUAUUCAGAAGAGAAAAAUGGGCUCAACUCGUAGACCUCUCAAAGGGAAUAAAGGACUAAGAAAAGGUCAUGAUGAAAAAGAAAUCUUCAAUUUGGAGGAUAAACCCAGUCCAGAUGAAUCCAGAUAUACUGCAGUGAGUAUCUGUGACAUUUCAGAAUCACAAACUUUCACAAAAAUCCAUGCAGAGUCCCAGGAAAAUACUGGAGAUGUUGAUAUAGUGCCAGCAGAGGGAGACACAGAAUCACACUCAGAAAACAAAACAAUUUACUCGCCAGCAUUUGAAGGAAAAGCAACAGGAGAGAACAUCUGUGCAGCUAGUGCUUUAGACAGAAACGUUGAGUUUAUUGGAGAUGCAGUUAUAGUGGACAGUAAUAUGACUACAGAGUCAGAUAUUGUUCAGAAUGACACUUCCACUGAUGCAAAACUGGAAACAUUGGUAUCUGAAAAUGCUGAGAAUGAAAUUUCAGGAAAAACAGACAUCAUUUCCAAACAAAGUGUUCCCAACAUCAUUCCUGAAGAUCUUCAUGGAGUGGAGGUACACACAAAAUUGAACCUUAAUGUGCAUAAGCGAAAAAUGGGCUCAACUCGUAGACUUCUUAGAGGGAACAAAGGACAAAGAAAAGUGAGAGUAGAAUCCAAGGAAAAUAAUGGAGAUAGUGAAGGAGUGUCAGAAGAGGAAGACACAGAAACACACUCAGAAAUUCAAAACUGGGAUAACGUGGUUGAUCAGAAUGUGACACAAGAAAUUAUGAAUGUAAGAGAUGUUGAAGAUGAGGAGAGAAAGACCACGAAGACACUGGACAUGUCAGUGCAGGUGCUAUGUGAUGAUUUGGAACUAGAGCAAAGAUCAGAUGCAUCUCAAACACAAACUGGUCCAUCACAGGAAGAUUCUGGCUCAUAUUUAGUAGAGUUCCUAGAAAGAACUGCAGAUAUUGUGAGAGACAGUAAUAGUCUUUCUGAUAUGGUAAUGUCUGAUGCCCUUCUUAUGGAAGAAACCCAAAUUCAUGUGUCAUCUAAUGAUGUUCCUCCAACAGAGGUGGUUGAAAUGAAUCCAGUCUCCAAAAAGUCUAUGCAGAAGAGAAAAAUUGGGUCAACUCGGAAGAGAGGUAAGAGGAUGGUAAAUGACAAGGAGGUUGAAGAAGAGAAAGAGGGAGAAACUGAAAAUACAACAGUUGAUGAUGAGACCACAGAGUCAGAGGAGAAAUUAACACUUGAAGAAGCCAUUACAGGAUCUCCUGUACAUCAGCAACUGUUCAGUUCAUCUGCUGAUAAAGAAGACCAUGACAUUCAGGAUAUUGUUUGUAAAUCAGAUGUGCAGGCAGAAAACUCAAAACAAAAUGAUCCAAACUCUACCAUAAAUCCAGAACUAUUGAUAGAAUCUGAAUGUUCUUCAAAUGUUGCUGCUGAAAUGGUUUCAGACCUUCCAUUGGGAGAUGUCGACACAUACUUAGAUCCUAAACAAAGUGUCAUUCCUAAAGAGUCUCACAGAGAAGAUCAACCAAACUUGAAUCCGGUUGUUCAAAAACGAAAAAUGGGGUCGACACGUAAGAUGCUCAGAGGGAACAAAGGGCAGGGAAGAAUAGCAGAAUCCAAAAAGAUGGAUGGAAAUAGUGAAGGAAUGAUACAAGAACAGGAUACAGAACCACAUUUUGAAACUAGUGCAAGAAAAACUGAAUUUGAUGAAGACGUUGAACAAAACUUCCCAUUUGAAUGUUCUCAUCCAGUGGCUUCUUCAAACAUGCUCCUUGAACCAGAAAAUGGAUUGACGGAAGUUUCUCCGAAUAUUCAUGACCUAUCUGAGGUGAGUGAGGAAAAGGGGAUGGACAAUACUGGAAAUGACAGUAAUAGUCUGAGUGAGGCAAUUAAUCUCAAGGAGGGGACAAAGGACAAAUUGGUCUUGACAAUUAGUCACGAAGAUGUUCAUCAGAUUGUGUCAGAGCCUGCACAAACUGAAAACACACACGAGGUUAUUCCUACACAAGAACUAAGAGCCACUCAAGAUGAUGUUGUUCAUGAAAACAACUCUCGAAAAAUACCUGCCACCCAAGAAAAGAGGCGAAAGAUGGGCACAACCCGGAGAAAUCCCCGAGCAAUGCAUGGGAAAAAUAUGGCCGAUAAUGAAGAUGUACUUGGUGUGGCAGAGGAUAGAGAAACUAAGAAAGCAGAGAAUGAUUUAGAAGAAGCAUUAAGCAUCAGUCAGUCCAAGGAUGUGUCUUCAGUCAGUACCACAGAUCUUAAUUCAGAAAUGUUAGCUAGUGUAACUGAUUUAAAAGUUGAAAAUGAUAAUCUUCACAGUUUUAGACCAACAGUACCUGAAACACAUGAAAAUACCCUUCAAAUAUGUGACAAUCAAUUAGAAAAUGCUGAUGUUACCAAACAUCCACAGUCAGAGACUGUUACCAUUGAGAAGAGAAGAAAGAUGGGCUCGACUCAGAAGAAUCUCAGAGAAGGAGGUAUACGAGGAAAAAGAGAUGGAUAUGAGGACACAGAAAUUGAAGACACAAAUGUGCAAAUGUCUCAGGACUCUGAAAUGAGCUUAGUAAGAGAAGAUGUAAGACAACAGACAACUCACGACUACUCCAAUCAGCCAGAGGAUUCACUUCUCAGUGAGAUAGAGAGAGCAUUAAAUAAGACGUCUCAAAGUUCAUUAAGUUGGGAUUGGGAAUUAAUCGUCAAAGAGCCAAACCCAGAUGGCUUAGCCAAUGCUCCUGAUCUCAAUAUGCCAGAAAACUCAGAAAUCAAAUCUCUUCAGCCAAUGCCAUCGGCUCACAGUGAACCCAACUCACCAGGAGGACGAAGAAGAAAAAUGGGUUCAACUCACAAAAAUCUCAGACAGCAGUUCAAAGCAGAAAGGGAGGAUGAAGACAAAGAGGAUGGGGAGAUAGAUGAGAACUCAAAGACAAAUAAGCAAGAAAAGAAGGACCUUGAAAGAGUUGAGGUGUCUGUAGUGCAUAAUAUUACUGAAAACAAACUGAAUAAAGAGUAUCUCGAUGUCUCUAGUGCACACACAAGUAGCAAUCAGCUAGAAGAGAGCACUAACCCUGUUAGCCAAGAAAAGACGUCUCCAUCAACUAAAAGGAAGUUUGGGUCCAGACGUGCUAAUAAGGGCAAACAAGGCCUUGGUAGGUUGGCUGAUUCUGAUUUUGGGAAUGAUUUAGAAGAUGGAGAUCAUAAAUCAGACAGCUCUGAGGUCAAGGACAAGCUGCACAGUGAUGACUUAGCGGUUUGUGAUCCGUGCCUCACCUUACAACCAGAGAAUCAACCAGCUUCUGAGCAAAGGAACAUGGAAGCCAAGUAUGACACAGAGCUAUAUAAGAGUUCUUUAUGUCUUUGUUAUAAGAAAAUAAUUAACUUUUUUCUUUUUUUCUUCUCCAGAAAUGAAGAAGCUGCUCCAAAAGGCACUGGUGCUGGUCUCGUUUCUUUGGACCAAAUCAUAAAACAUGAUAGCACUGGAGCUAAGCAGACAGUAAAUUUAAAGAACAGGAGUGAGUAAAGUGAUAAAAUAACGUCAUGUAAUUGUACCUUAAAGUUUAAUAUCUAAUACUCAUCUAAACACAAACUCUGUCAUAUAGUUUCAGAUACUGAAGUAGUUCAGUUUAAUGUUGUCAUGGUGGGAAACAGCUGUGUGGGAAAGACUUCCUUCAUAAGACGCUUCCAUGAAGACCAGUUCACUGAGGAUUACCGCUCCACUAUUGGUGAGU
Molecule: long non-coding RNA, 6618 nt
Organism: Sinocyclocheilus anshuiensis
Lineage: Eukaryota; Metazoa; Chordata; Actinopteri; Cypriniformes; Cyprinidae
Source: Ensembl